Molecule: ribosomal RNA, 640 nt
Filed under: Rhodococcus (subgen. Prescottella) equi
Lineage: Bacteria; Bacillati; Actinomycetota; Actinomycetes; Mycobacteriales; Nocardiaceae
Description: Prescottella equi bacterial SSU rRNA
Rfam family: Bacterial small subunit ribosomal RNA
Source: RNAcentral
GGGAAGGCCCUUCGGGGUACACGAGCGGCGAACGGGUGAGUAACACGUGGGUGAUCUGCCCUGCACUCUGGGAUAAGCCUGGGAAACUGGGUCUAAUACCGGAUAUGAGCUCCUGUCGCAUGGCGGGGGUUGGAAAGGUUUACUGGUGCAGGAUGGGCCCGCGGCCUAUCAGCUUGUUGGUGGGGUAAUGGCCUACCAAGGCGACGACGGGUAGCCGGCCUGAGAGGGCGACCGGCCACACUGGGACUGAGACACGGCCCAGACUCCUACGGGAGGCAGCAGUGGGGAAUAUUGCACAAUGGGCGAAAGCCUGAUGCAGCGACGCCGCGUGAGGGAUGACGGCCUUCGGGUUGUAAACCUCUUUCAGCAGGGACGAAGCGAGAGUGACGGUACCUGCAGAAGAAGCACCGGCCAACUACGUGCCAGCAGCCGCGGUAAUACGUAGGGUGCGAGCGUUGUCCGGAAUUACUGGGCGUAAAGAGCUCGUAGGCGGUUUGUCGCGUCGUCCGUGAAAACUUGGGGCUCAACCCCAAGCUUGCGGGCGAUACGGGCAGACUUGAGUACUGCAGGGGAGACUGGAAUUCCUGGUGUAGCGGUGAAAUGCGCAGAUAUCAGGAGGAACACCGGUGGCGAAGGCGGG